CUAUGACACUUUCAUUAUGGAAAAAGUGUCGAAGUAUGCAGGGGACAGUCGAUAUUCAAUGAAAAAUCUGUUUUCUGAGGUCGGUCUAGUCUUGAACAAUCCAUUUGUUUACCAACCUGUCAAGUACUUGUAUGCUACCUCCAAAAUUGACGUCCCAGAAAGUUUUAUUUUAAAGCCAUUAUCAAGGGAUGCCUGGAAUAGGGAAUCGAAUUGGAUUGGAUACAUAGCAGUAGCCACCGAUCAGGGAAAGCAGGCUUUAGGCAGGAGGGAUAUAACAAUUGCAUGGAGAGGAACAAUCCAGCCUCUUGAAUGGAUUAAAGAUUUUGAUUUUCCACUGACGUCUGCUUCUGAUAUUGUCGGAGUAGAAAAAGAUGCUCAAGUUCAUCAAGGAUUUCUUUCAAUUUAUACAUCGGACAAUCCCCAGUCACAGUUUAACAAAACUAGUGUCAGGGAGCAGGUAACGGUAGCUGAAUACCCAUACUCAAAAUUGCAUAUAAACAAACAUCUGAAAUAAACUAAACCUAAUUCUAUGUCUACUGUCAGAUUUUCGAGACACUGAAGGAGCUGGUGGAUAAGUAUGAGAAUGAGGACAUCAGCGUGACUGUAACAGGGCACAGUUUAGGUGCAGCACUUGCAACUCUUAGCGCAGUUGAUAUUGUAGCCAAUGGGUUGAACAGGAGCGAUGAUCAAGCCAGCAAGGCCUGUCCUGUCACAGCCUUUGUCUUCGCCUGCCCACGCACGGGGGAUCUAGCAUUUAGAGAAGUCUCCGAUUCCUUCAGUGAUCUUCGUAUCCUCCGGGUGACAAAUACUCCUGAUAUAAUACCCAAAGUUCCACCAUUAGCGAUAGGUUAUAGAGACGUUGGACAAAAUCUAGAACUCGACAGCCGAAAAUCUACGUACCUGAAGCCUACAGGAGCAUUCAUAACUUGGCAUAAUUUGGAGGCAUAUAUGCAUUGUAUUGCAGGAACACAAGGGGGAAAACCCGAUUUUCAUUUAGAAGUGAACAGAGAUAUUGCAUUAGUGAAUAAGAAAUUGAAUAGUUUGAAGGAUAUAUAUUUGGUGCCCAGCGCUUGGUGGCAAGAGAAACACAAAGGGAUGGUUCAACAGGAGGAUGGCUCUUGGAAGCUAGAUGAUCAUGAAGAUGAUGCUUAAGAUGCCUACUAUGCUAAAAAGGAGCACCACCUUAGAUAUCUAAAAAUUGGAUUUUUCUUUUUUAAAAGAAUCUUACGAAUCAUGCAUGUUUGGUUACUGAUUAAUAACUAUGAGAAAGACAAUGUGGUGUUAAUAUUUUCUUAUAUAUUGUAAUAAAAUUGAUGCUGGGGUACAGUGUUUAUAUAACUUUCUGUGAAAUAAUUUUGGAUUAAGUUGCUAAUCCUGUGCUGAUACUGUCUGUAUAUAGCUUGAAUCAAAUUUUAGAUCUCUUUUCUUUAUUUUCUGUAGUGUAAAGGAUAUACUACUUUUCCAUUUCAAAAGAUAAUCCUUUUGCUCUCUUUGGAUUGUUGAGAAUCUUAAUUCUUUUAUUUUUGCUAAUUUUAGUUAAUCUUAUUCAUGCUGUAAAUCUUUCUUUCUCCUUUUCUUUUCUAAUUCUCAGAUCAUUCUUCUGUUUGAUAAAAGGUUAGAGGUGAGGAUAUGAUCCGAGAAGAGAAAUUCAACUGUUGACCAAACAAAUAUGUCUAGCUAACAAUCUUUUCUAGAAAUAAUCUAGUCAUUUGACGGAAUUACGAUUCUUCGAGUGAAAAUGACACAAAGUGUUAAUAUUAAUUUGCUCGACAUAUUGUUACAACCUGAUUAAGCAAAGCUAAGCUUGGAAAGAAUGUUACUGAAGCAAUGAUGCGAGAUUUCAUUAAAGGCUGAAACUUGAAGCUUGCUUGGAAGCUUGUCGCAGAUGUCUGGGCAUGAUAAAAGAAUGUUAGACCCUAGUGUGCACCCAGAGUUGAGCUUGGAAAGAAUCCGGAUCAAUUCAUGCUUACUGGACGGUUAUUAGAUGAGCUUGGAGAACAGAUGAUUUAAAUUUUUAGCCAUCAGGAUUGCACUGCUGCAGUGAAAGCUCGCAUCAGACUUCAAAUGAACAAGUCUUUCCUUUUGUCCUAUAAUCAAGGCCAAUGACACCUUUUUCUUUCUCAUGGGAACAGUUGUUCUUUUCCGAAUUCUUUCUGUUUUCGGUUCUACUUUCUCUAAUCUUCAGUGGCUCUCUUCUCCUGAAUGUUAUAAAGUUUCACUCUCCGGUCUACCGCAAAUUCUCUAGAAGGAAUAUUGUGAUUUUGGUAACGGAUGAUUUGUUUUCAACCUGAUACUGCACAUACGUACAAGCACAUGUUUAUGCUGAUAUAGAUUUUGCUUGGGAAAGGUAAAGAAAACAUGCAUCUGUUUAAUAAUUUUCUUUUUAAUUACAAGAUAUAAUUUUUUUCUUGACAAAUUAAUAUGGUUUAGUCAGUUAUUAUCGUUAUAUCAUUAAUUUACGGAUGUGGAGCUUAUAAAAUAAAAAAGAAAAUAUAUCAUAUUAAUAAUAAUAACUUAUAUUAUCCGAGUCCACGCCAUGUUGACACUAUAACAAUAAAACUUAGUGGUAAUAUACUUAAUUGUUAAUGGGCAAAACUAUGUGUUAAGAAAAGAAAUCAGACACUUUAGAUUGAGAGACAGUCAGACUACAUAGACAUGUAUGGUUCUUUCGUAAUUUCCCAUGAUUAUAAUUCACUUUAUGAUCUUCCCAGGCAACCUGCUUUUCUCAGCUCGAACUGUGUCUCUCAUUAGUAUUUCAGCAUCUCUUCUUCACCAUAAUUAUCAAGCUGCUCCUUGAAUCUCAGUUUCAAGCGCUGCAUCUAAAUAGAUCAAUUGAAUGUUUUAUAAUUGAAGUUGUUUACCAAAAUUCAGAAAAGAAAUUAAGUCUAACCUUAGGCCCGGAGGAGUCAAGCUUUGCAUUUGAGAGAACAUGAAUGCCAAGAGAAACCCCUUGAAGGACAACAGGUUCUCCUUUUGGCCUGUUGGAGAUAUAGACCAUGCUUUUUGAUGAUAUGUCGGCCAAUAUAGGUUAAACCCAUUGUACUGAUGAGCCUCUUUCAACAGCAUUUCUGCAAAUUGCUUCGGACUUUUUGCGCUCUGUAUGAUGCAGAAAAAGAAAAAUUUCGAUUUUCUAUUCAUAACAGUAGACAAUUUGUGAGGCAAAAUACAUCUAUUCCUGUUUAAUUUGUCACCUCCAAGAAAAGGACUGGAAGUUCCCUCUGCUCUUUGCCUCAGGUAGAGCAUGAAGCUCCAAAACAUUUGUGAGGAAAGCAACUCUGCCUGCCCUUGAACAUCCCAACCAUGUUCCCCCUGCUACAGCAUCUCUUCCACCCAGUACAUCACAGCCAUUCCACCAUGCCACUGGUUCUGUUGGCCUACACAAAUGUGUAUAUACACACACACACACAGCCAGUUAGUUACUACACCCGCGCCAGCACAUCACAGGAAAAGUUGAAACGAGGCAUAAAUCUCAUAAAAUACAGAACUUGCCUGUUGUGAUAUUCAUCUCUAUUAUGCAAGAGAAGCAGAGGCUAGAGAGGUUGAGCUUGCCAAACGAACGCAGCUAUGCACAUAGCUUAGCACAAUCAAUUGGACGUUUAGGAGUUACAAUAUCACUAAACAUGGCAGAAUUACACUUACACAAAAUGGAUGACUGUAAACAGGAGAAAAUUAGAAACUAAGACUUUUGUCUCUUUGUUUCCUAAGCAAAAACCAGUGGGGCAAAGGUUGUCCUAGAAUGCGUGCAUGCACUAAAAUUUGUUUGAAAUUGUUGUUAAGAAAAAUUACUUUUUAAUUUUUGAUUUAAUCCACUAUUUUUUAUAAGUUAUUUUUAUAAAAUAUACUAUAAAUAUUAAAAUCGUUUUAUAGGAAGGAACGUAAAAUAUUGAAUUUGAUUAUUCCCUUAAUUAAAUUAUAUUUCUAUUGUAUGUAUUCAUUUAUUACUCUUCAAAUUAUAUAUAAGUUCUUAAAUAAAAAAAAUGUAGUUUCGAUUUUUUUUAUUAAUAAUAUAGAAAUUUUUUUUAUAUAGUUGUACAUUUGGAAUCAAAUAAAAUUUAUGAUUAUAAAGAGAUUAUAAUUUAUUAAAGCUUUGAGUAUUAAGAUUUUUCUUUGACUUAAUAGUGAAUAUUGUUGGUGAAAUGAUAGCAAUUAGAUAUGAGAUAUAUUAAUAUCUUAUCAUAUUAUAUAAAAAAAUGGAAAUCAAUACUGUAAGACAAAAUAUAUCAUAAUAUUUAUUUUUAAAAAAAUAUAAAUACAAAUAUUAUUAUGUUGAAAAAUUUGUUUAAAAUAAAAUUUAAAAAAUUUAUAAUAUAUAUACACGCUUUAUUUUUCUGAAGGUGCAAAAAAAGAAAAAAAAAUUUAUUAAUUAAAUUAAAAUUCUGAAACUCAUGUAAUUAUAGUAUAAAAUUUAUAUCUAUUUACAACCGGUCCAAUUUGAAACUGAAAUUUUUAAUUAUUAUAUAGAUGUUAUUUCUAUAUAGAGUAUCGUUGUAGAGAAAUUUUAUUAUAUAUUUAAAAUUAAAAUAUGCACAAUAGAAGAGUUCUAUCCACGAUUAUUGCAGUAUAUUUAUGGCAGCUCCAUCUUGUUCAGGUGAUUACUGUGCUUUGGCUGAAAUGGAAGGGCUCCUGGUGACCUGUGUGGUUCAUAAAGGUUUAAGACUUGCCUUUGAUUACGAUAUAACUGGUGUCCUUGUGAAGUGUGUGUGAUGCUGCUGGAGUUAUGACAUGGUCAGAGUUUGGCCUUCUAAUAGCUGAUACCCACAUGCUUGCUAGUUAUGUUCAAGUUGUGGAACUUUUAGCCAUUAGUCGUAGUUGUAAUUUUUACUCGUAAUCUUCCAUUGUAUCGGCUUUCUUUAGAUGCUGAGAGUGUCUGGAUCCAGGACGAAAUCCCUGUAUAACUUCGUAACCUUAACUGGCCCAAAACCCCCCAAGAUGCCUAACCUUAUCUUAAAUAGGCCUGGUCUGACAUCUCAUGCCUUCACAUGGUUCUGAACUAAAUUAUUGUAUGUGAGAAACAAGAGGAUAUCUAGAUACAAACAGUUUAAUUUUACUUGUAGCAGAACCAGAACAAUACAACACCAUUUAUUUUUGUCUUUUUUUUUGAGGGUGUGAUUAAACAAGGACAUUAGGACAUUAGUGUGUUGACUUCAUAAUAACGCUUGGUAGUUUGCUGAUGAUAAUGUUGCUGCUUUCUCACCAUAUCAUAUGCAGCAAUUAUAUUUAAGUAGAUGGUUAUAAAUUUCAGACUCAGUUUAGCAUGUUGCAGAAAUGAAGGCGCGAAUAAUGCAUGAACUGGAUCAUCGUAUGAUGAGCACACUGCCUAUAUCAUAAUCGAAUUCCAAGAACUCUGCCUAACCAAACUACUUCAACUAGCCUUUCCUUUUGGCAAUUUCCUUGUCUGAUGAUAUAGCUCUAACCGCCGCGGAUAUUGAGGGAGGCUUAAAAUGCAUGAUAGCAACGAAGGCAGAAAAUUGUGAAGUGUGCAAUUUCUAAUGGAUUCUAUUUAAACUAAUAGUAAUAAUGAGUAUUAAUCGGCUUAAAACAUCAAAAGACAGGUUUACCUGUGGAAAUGUCUGGAGGAAACAUAGCCAGAAGAUGGAGGCAGCUUAGCGGGCAACAAAAGUGGCAGGGCCUCCUUGAGCCUCUAGACAAUGAUCUCCGUCAAUACCUCAUCCACUAUGGUGAUUUGGCUCAAGCUACAUAUGACAAUUUCAUUAUGCAGAAGUAUUCACAGUUUGCAGGGGACAAUAGAUUUUCAAUGAAAAAUUUGUUUUCCCGGGUUGGUCUAGGCAUGCGGAACAAUCAAUUUGUUUAUAAACCUGUCAAGUACUUAUAUGCAACCUCCAAAGUUGAUGUCCCACAAAGUUUCAUUAUGAGUCCAGCAUCCACAUCAAGGGCUGUGCCGAAUGGAGAAUCGAAUUGGAUCGGAUACAUAGCAGUAGCUACCG
This 5945-nucleotide long non-coding RNA is filed under the name Ricinus communis (castor bean). RNAcentral's name for it is "long non-coding RNA (RCOM_LNC001855)". Lineage: Eukaryota; Viridiplantae; Streptophyta; Magnoliopsida; Malpighiales; Euphorbiaceae. The record is from RNAcentral.